AGGCUGUGGAAUAGUCGCUGGCUCUCCUGUAGUACUGUGUGUGGCCUGUAGGCUGUGGAAUAGUCGCUGGCUCUCCUGUAGUACUGUGUGUGGCCUGUAGGCUGUGGAAUAGUCCUGCUUUUGAGGGAGUGUUUCAGAGCAGCAAUUGCUACAUUUAAAUUACAUUGAAAUGUAGACAGACAAGACUGAGCGAGCGGUCGGCUGUGGUGUUGGACAGUUGCCAGACUCCUCACCCUCUUUGGGAUGUUAUCUGUGGUCAGGCAGACAUCGCAGGGCCCACAGAAUAACCCCCCCUCCAUUAAAUGGUGCUAUUAAAAUACAUCUCUUAUUUUAAAUUUGUGAAAUGCUACUGCCUCAGGAAGUCAGUGGCUUUGUGUUUGCACGGCUGUGGGGUUUGAAGCAGCCGGCGAUGAAUGAUUAACUCUGCGCACUUUCCGUGUUGCAGACUCUCUGCCCCAUUGGAUCUCCCAGCUGAUGGGGUUUCGCCCGCAGACACUUUAACGUUUAGCCCGCGGGCGGCCGGCAGUAGCGGCAGCCGCGGGCGAUCGAGCCCCUGCUUUUCCCUUAAUCGCUCAUCAUUGGCUGGUUUCGGUUGACCCUCCAGUGGGUACAUGCCCAGCGUGCUUCAGUGAACACUCCCAGCAUGCCUCUUGUUUUUUUGUCCCGUGACGAUGCCAGAGUUGCGGCUGUGUUGUGUUUUUUUGUCACGGGGCAGAAGCUCACGCAGCUCAAAAGGAGAACCAGUUUCGGCCACUUUUAAAACCUCAGCUGCGGGGGGGGGCAGGGGGGGAGGGGUUUCGAUCUUCGUGCAGUCAGCAGACACGGUGUAAAAGCGACCUGUUCCCCCCCCUCCCCCCCGCUUCAAGCGCAGGCAGGCUGGAGUCGGUCAGCCUCGCAGUCAGACGUGUUCAGACACGGCUGGACUGCCUGAGGGGGGAAACGAGGCGGGCGGGGGUGGGGGCGGGGGCGGGGCUCGCUCUGUCCCUUUGCCACACCCCCGCAGAGGGAACACGGACAGCGUCUGGAGGCCUGAUUCAGGCUCGCUUGCGGCUUGCUUGCCCAGUUUGGCGCGUGAUUCUGAUUGGCGGUGCCCCUGGAGACGGUUGCCGUGAAAACAGGCGGGAGCGCUGACUUCACAGAGACGUCUCGUAGGAGGCGAGGGCGAGGGGCAGGGCGAGGGCGAGGGGCAGGGCGAGGGUUAGGGCGAGGGCGAGGGUGUAGCAGUUCGGCAUCAGUUUCUUACUUCACAUUGACUUGGGUAUUUUGUCAGUACGGCACUCAAUAAAGAUAAUGUGGCUGUGGUGCAGAGAUGAUGAUGAUGAUACACAUGGAAGUUCCUCAGUCCGGUUUUAUAUGUUACCAUGCGCUUACUUCAGUAGGCCUUGUGGAUUCAAAAUGUACGUUGAAUGCACAAAAAAAAAAAAAAAGGAAUUUUCAUUUUUUUACCCCAGAUCAAGCUCAGCUUGUAUCUGGUGAAUCUUUUUCAGAGUCUCUGGUUGAUGUCCUUCGGUCGCAGCACAGAAGAGGAGAGUGGGGGGGGGGGUCUCAGAUUUAAGGUCACACUCGAGGGGGGGGGGUGUUAUCGGUGCUAAGCCCAGUCCCUUCACUUUAAGGCCCUCCUUUCUGCCACCGGUACAGCCAGCCAGUGCUCAGUACGCCCCCCACACGCCGGCCUGCUGGUGCACGUGUCCUGUGUGCUCCUUCAGUCUCGGGCCUGUUUCGCCCUUCCUCUGAAACGUUGGUGUAACAGUAGAGUGGUAUAGAAUGGUAGUUCUAUAGGUUCUCUGUUAUUGGGACGGAGUUCUAUAGAGUGGUAGUGGUAUAGGUAAAGUGGUAGUGGUAUUGGUGGCAUAGGUAAAGUGGUAGUGGUAUUGGUGGCAUUGGUAUAGACUGCUAGUGGUUUAGAGGUGUGUAGACUGGUAUUGGUAUAGUGUGGUAGGGGUAUUAAUAUUGAGUUAUAUAGUCUGGUAUUGGUAUAGAGCGUUUUGUGGUGGACUGGUAUUGGUAUAGAGCUUGGUAUAGUGGUAUUGGUGUAGACCUGUAUAGACUGGUAUUGGUACAGAGCAGUAGUGCUGUACAGGUAUUGGUAUAGAUGUGCAUAGACUAGUAUUGGUAUAGAUCUUGGUAUAGUGGUAUUGGUAUAGACCUGUAUAGAGCUUGGUGUAGUGGUAUCGGUGUACACCUGUAUAGACUGGUAUUGGUAUAGAGCAGUAGUGGUGUACUGGUAUUGGUAUAGAGCAGUAGUGGUGUAUUGGUAUUGAUGUGUGUAGACUGGUAUUGGUAUAGAGCUUGGUAUAGUGGUAUCGGUGUAGACCUGUAUAGAGCUCGGUAUAGUGAUAUCGGUGUAGACCUGUAUAGACUGGUAUUGGUAGUAGAGCAGUAGUGGUAUAGGUGGUAAACAGUAGUAGUGGUGUGGUAUAUAAGCAGUGUUGGGGUUUCUGAUAACCGCACAGCAGUGGAUGCUGCAGUUUGUCCAGGUCUGGGCGGUGCCUGUUGCGGGUGCGGCAGUGAGCACGUCUGCAGUGAUGCAUCCCUGACGCUUGCAGGGCUCAGCGACGCUCCGGACUUUUCUGUGAGCCCUCAGUCUGCAAAAGCAGACAGUUAAUCAGGCUGUUUUUUUUGUGUUUUAGGCUGUUGUGUUUUUUUAAACUGGUGUUCACAUCGGUGCUGCUUGUAUAAAAUACAUGACUUGUGUGCAAAGCUUAAAGAAAACAAAAACACCUUCGUACAAAAAUCACAUCUUAUAUUUUGUUUUCCCUUGUGCCCAGCUGUUAGCAUUUUGUCGCAGUGGCCUGCGCACCAUAGAGGUCUCUGAUUGUGUGUGGAGGCUGCAGCCUCCGGACAGGAGCUCUGGUGCUGUACCGGUGCAUCCUCUGUGGUGCUUUAGGCAUUGCAGGGGUGUCGUUAUCUUACAGGCAUUUAGCAUAUGCGCUUAUUCAGAGCGACUUGCACAUCUUUUACCCCCAUUUUUUCCCCCCAUUUACGUAGUAUCUAUUUAUACAGCUGGAUAUGUACUGAUGCAGUUCUGGUUAAGGACUUUGUUCUGGGGUACUACCUGGGAAUCGAACCCGCAACCUCUAGGCAAGGUGACUGUGAUGUCAGUCUGAGGAGAGACUAGGAGCCUUGGUGCUCUGGAUCAGGGGCUCCCCCCCCCCCCCCCCCCGACUUUUGGCGCUUUUAUCCAGCACCCACUACAGGCUGUGAUACGGUGGCUAUUUAACACGCCGGGGAUGAUGUCAUAAGCACAGUGUGCACUUUUCUGUCUCUUCAUCGUCCUCGAAUUGAAAGGAAUGCGUUUGCUUGCAAACAGAGAAGCAGAGCAGUGCAUUGUGGGGGCACAGAGAGUGUGUCACGUCUCGCCCAAUUAAUGCUCAUGGAGUGAUUUGAAUUUCUCUUUGAGACACUAUACGUGUGUGUGUGUGUAUAUACAGGAUAUAUAUGUUGUGUGUGUGUGUGCGUGAGUGUGCGUGAGUGUGUGCGCGCGUGUCUGCGUCUAUUGGUUUUUAGGAUGUAUCCAUGUUCUCAAAGAGAAGCAAAGCUUUUUGAAGCUUUACAGCCAAAAUGCUGUUUUAGAGACUAAAGAAUUAAAAUAAAAAAUGAAUAAAAAAGAAUAGGUAUGGACUCUUCAUUUUGCUGAAGCAGUCAUUCAUAUAGGGGCUAGUAGGAAGAGUCCUUUCUUAGAUGCACUGGAAGGUCUUUUUAAUGUUGUUUAUUAUGACUGUAAAGAUUUACUCUUUGUGUUUGAUGUUUGUUGUUGCUGUUGUAAGUUUUUUUUUUUUUACUGAUACCAAUAUUACCAAUAUCCAGGUAAAGUCCCAAUAUCCUUAAAGAGCAAGGUGCUUCCCUACACUUUAAACAAGGACAAAGCAGUCAUGCAAAUGCAUGUUGUUGUUUCUCUCGUGCUUAAGAGGGGGGAAAAAAUUAAUAAUGUUGAAAUCAAGUAUAUACAAGUUAUACAAAGUUAGGUUUUUUUUAUUUUUUAUUAUUUAUCUUUUAUUUGCAUGUCCGAGACGGGAGUCAGGCAGAGGUCUCCAUGGCAACUGUCUCCAUGGCUCCUCCUACUGCCGGGUCGGUUUUUUCUGUGUCUGGUUUUACUGGCUUUGCCCUUGAGGUUCAUAAGCCAGUCUCACCAAAACUGACCCUACAGGAGCUGGUGAAACGGCAGCUGAACUGGCCGAUUCCAGCCUCACAGGACAUUCAGUGGCUGUGACGAAGGGUUCCCUUCACACUCUUCAUUUUUAGGUGGGCAAAUAAAUCUUAAGAAACCAGUUUCCUGUGUAAAUAUUAGCACUAGAUGUGGAUCGACUUCCACAAGAGAAAUGCUGUCCUUUUUGGCCAAAUCUGAGUUGUGGUUUCAAGCAGGAAUCCCUUUUGUUUUUGCAGGAUUCGUUCCUGGAUAAUAUUUGUAUAUUUAUUCUAAAACUGCUGAGUCCCACUGUAAAGCAAUUCUUUUUAUUUGCAUGAACUGUCAGCAGUUUGGUCUUCCUGCAAUAGCAACUGUUAUUCUUCAGGUUUUAAAAGGUUUUUUUUUUUUUUGGCUUGUUUUUAUAACCACAGGUAACGUGUAUGUUAACAAUGGUGCUUUUUCUGUGAACUUCCUCCUUCUCGACCGUGAUUGUGAAAUAGAGGCUCGCUGUUGCACAAUUAUGACUGCAUUUGUCUUGAAAAGACGCAUUUAUUUGACUUUUCCCUUCCCUUUCGUAAACACACACCAACCACCACUUCUAGCGUGUACUGUGAAGAUUACUGUUUUUGAGAUCUCAGUUUUCACAUUUGUGAUUGUUCCUACUCCUCAACCCUAACCCUAACCCCCCCUCUCUCCCUUAAUCUUUCUGUUCCCUCCGCCCCCCCCCAUCCCAUUUCCAGUGGUACACAGGUCACUCCUGUUUAGGUUAGACAUGCUGUACUUCACUCCUGCUUUUGUGUUAAAAUGUAAACACUGUGGACUGAAAUUGCAUGUUUGUUUUUUUUUUUAAAUACAUAUACUAUUUUAUAUCUGUAGUAAUGACAGAGAAGGUUGAGGUGAAAUACCAACCAGUAGUUCUGCUGGUUUCAUCCCCCCCCCCCCCCGAUCAGGGUCUGAUUUAAACCUCCAGGUGAGUGUGUGUAAUCUCUGGCCAAACAGUGACAUUACUGGACUGUCAGGCAGAAGACAGAACCAGCAGCACUACUAUCCUUGGGGGCCACACUUGAGUGUCCCUGGCCUGCCUGUUCAAACUGUUUGGGUGGCGAUGGAAAAAAAUGUACUGUUUCUACACCGGUGCUUCUCUCUGGCAAUGCAAACAAUAUUGUGCGUUUGGUUUAACAUGCUUUGGGGGAUUUUCCCAGCCUUUCUUGUAAUUGCUAAUAAAAUAAUGUUUCUUUGUAA
Molecule: long non-coding RNA, 5368 nt
Organism: Anguilla anguilla (European eel)
Lineage: Eukaryota; Metazoa; Chordata; Actinopteri; Anguilliformes; Anguillidae
Exons: 2
Source: RefSeq, a predicted model, not a curated record